Molecule: ribosomal RNA, 116 nt
Filed under: Pteropus alecto (black flying fox)
Lineage: Eukaryota; Metazoa; Chordata; Mammalia; Chiroptera; Pteropodidae
Source: RNAcentral
GUCUAUGGCCAUGCCACCCUGAACAAGCCCGAUGUCUGAUCUCAGAAGCUAAGCAGGGUCGGGCCUGGUUAGUACUUGGAUGGGAGACCACUUAGGAAGACCAGGUGCUGUCGGCA